GAACCUUUCGUACUGAACGGGGAACACCCGGCGAUACAGCUUCUUUGCUGAGGGACAAUGGGGAGACCCUGGCAGCUGUUCCCACGCCUGCUGCUACUGCUGGUGAACAUUCCCUGGGGGAGCUGCCAGGCCGAGGUGCACCAGAACCUGUCUGAGGUCACUCGGGAAGGGCAGAACGGCAGCAUCUCUUGCCACUACACGAUGAGUAAUUUCAGGAGUGUGCAGUGGUUCAGGCAGCUGCCCGGAGGCCAGCCUGUCUCCCUGCUGAUUCUGGUGUCCGAUGAGAAACAAACCAAGGAGCCCAACCUCACCGCGGAGCUCGACAAGGGGAAGCGGCUGAGUUCCCUGCACAUCAGAGAAUCACAGCUGGGAGACGCAGCCACCUACUUCUGCGCCGUGGCGACACAGUGACACAGGAGCACUGGCAGCCUGUGCAAAAACUCCCCAGCUAGAGGGUAACUGUCAGGCUGGCUGGCGGCACAACACCACCACCUACUUCUUACACAGUGCAUCUCUGAGCGGGCUUCGCCUUCCAUUACAGGGCUCUGGAACACAAGGCUGAGACAGCGGCAGAGUGUUUGUGCAUAGCUGGCACUGCCCGUUCCCAUGAAGCCCAGCUCUGGGGAUCACCCCUUUGUCCAGGGGGAGGCAAGUUAGACUAUUAAACCCAGCGAAAAGGGACCUAUUUAAC
Molecule: non-coding RNA, 691 nt
Organism: Mauremys mutica (yellowpond turtle)
Lineage: Eukaryota; Metazoa; Chordata; Testudines; Geoemydidae
Source: the annotation of a RefSeq genome assembly